UCCAAAGAAACAUAGUGACAAAAUUUAUUCAAUUAAUUAAAAUUAACCCACAAUACAAAAUUCAAAGAACAAUAAAGAAAGAGACGAGACUCUAAAACCACAAUCCCUAAGCUGAUCUUUAAACGCUAACCGAAGAUUACUAGGUGACAAAGANNNNNNNNNNNNNNNNNNNNNNCUUCAAGCCUCGCCGCUUCUCAACGCGGAAAGUGUCUCCAUCGACUAGGGUGGGAGGAGCCCGUUCAUGUAUCAUUGUAAGGGUUACCAACUUGAAAUAACAUAUAACCAAAUAUGCAAAUACCAAAUAUACAAUACAUGGAAAACAAUUAAACACUUAGCAUUUUAUUCUUAACCAGCACAAUAUAAAAAUGCACAAAUAGUCUAUCGAUGCAGACUGUAUAUAAGUGUGACACCAAUCACUGAUCGUCACAUGCAUGAAUUCCGGAAUUUAACCUCUCCGUAGAGAGUCAUAGGCUUAUAGUGGAUACCAAUCACUGAUCUUCACACACCUACUAAAAUCAAUAAAAUCCCAAAGGAUUAGAGUAGACACCAAUCACUGAUCGUCGCACCAUGUGGCCCAUCACGGUCACCACGUAUUGAACUCAAUAAAAAUCCCGCAGGAUUAAGGUGGACACCAAUCACUGAUCGUCGCACCCUCGUGGCCCAUUACGGUCACCACGUACUAUGAGAUGCAUGAGCAUACAAUUCCCCAUAUAUGCUAA
RNAcentral lists this long non-coding RNA (719 nucleotides) under Trifolium pratense (red clover). RNAcentral describes it as "long non-coding RNA (TPRA_LNC005913)". The record is from RNAcentral. Lineage: Eukaryota; Viridiplantae; Streptophyta; Magnoliopsida; Fabales; Fabaceae.